GGGGAAGCACAGGAUCCCAGACUGUGUCCCCCAGCGCCCUGGGAUCUGGGGCCUGCAGUGCUGGAAUCACGCUCUCGGGGCCACGCAGCUCCCU
RNAcentral lists this microRNA precursor (94 nucleotides) under Canis lupus familiaris (dog). RNAcentral's name for it is "mir-8799 microRNA precursor family". It matches the Rfam family "mir-8799 microRNA precursor family". RNAcentral also lists the same sequence under 1 other name. Lineage: Eukaryota; Metazoa; Chordata; Mammalia; Carnivora; Canidae. The record is from Rfam by way of RNAcentral.